UACGAAGGGGGCUAGCGUUGUUCGGAAUUACUGGGCGUAAAGGGCUCGUAGGUGGCCAACUAAGUCAGACGUGAAAUCCCCAGGCUCAACUUGGGAACUGCGUCUGAUACUGGAUGGCUUGAAUUCGGGAGAGGGAUGCAGAAUUCCAGGUGUAGCGGUGAAAUGCGUAGAUAUCUGGAGGAAUACCGGUGGCGAAGGCGGCAUCCUGGACCGAGAUUGACACUGAUGAGCGAAAGCUAGGGGAGCAAACGGG
RNAcentral lists this ribosomal RNA (253 nucleotides) under uncultured bacterium. RNAcentral describes it as "partial 16S ribosomal RNA". It matches the Rfam family "Bacterial small subunit ribosomal RNA", at positions 524 to 776 of the family's 1533-position model. The record is from RNAcentral.